CCUACGGGUGGCAGCAGUAGGGAAUAUUGCUCAAUGGGGGAAACCCUGAAGCAGCAACGCCGCGUGGAGGAUGAAGGUUUUCGGAUUGUAAACUCCUUUUGUUAGAGAAGAUAAUGACGGUAUGUAACGAAUAAGCACCGGCUAACUCCGUUCCAGCAGGCGCGGUAACACGGAGGCAGCAAGGGUUACCCGGAAUCACUGGGCGUAAAGAGCGCGUAGGCGGGAUAGCAGGGCAGAUGUGAAAUCCUAGGGCUUAACCAUAGAACUGAAUUUGAAACGGUAAUUCUGGAGUAUGGGAGGGGGAGGUGGAAGUCUUGGUGUAGGGGUAAAAUCCGUAGA
Molecule: ribosomal RNA, 339 nt
Filed under: uncultured bacterium
Lineage: Bacteria
Description: partial 16S ribosomal RNA
Rfam family: Bacterial small subunit ribosomal RNA
Source: RNAcentral